This 309-nucleotide ribosomal RNA is filed under the name uncultured bacterium. RNAcentral's name for it is "bacterial SSU rRNA". It matches the Rfam family "Bacterial small subunit ribosomal RNA", at positions 28 to 334 of the family's 1533-position model. The record is from RNAcentral.
GACGAACGCUGGCGGCGCGCCUAACACAUGCAAGUCGAACGAGCGAGAGAGAGCUUGCUUUCUCGAGCGAGUGGCGAACGGGUGAGUAACGCGUGAGGAACCUGCCUCAAAGAGGGGGACAACAGUUGGAAACAGCUGCUAAUACCGCAUAAUGCAACGAAAUCGCAUGACUUUGUUGCCAAAGAUUUAUCGCUCUGAGAUGGCCUCGCGUCUGAUUAGCUAGUUGGCGGGGUAACGGCCCACCAAGGCGACGAUCAGUAGCCGGACUGAGAGGUUGGCCGGCCACAUUGGGACUGAGACACGGCCCAG